UUGACGCUGAGGUUGGUACUUGUACCACUGGAUGAGCAGCGAACGGGUGAGUAACGCGUGGGGAAUCUGCCUUUGAGCGGGGGACAACAUUUGGAAACGAAUGCUAAUACCGCAUAAAAACUUUAAACACAAGUUUUAAGUUUGAAAGAUGCAAUUGCAUCACUCAAAGAUGAUCCCGCGUUGUAUUAGCUAGUUGGUGAGGUAAAGGCUCACCAAGGCGAUGAUACAUAGCCGACCUGAGAGGGUGAUCGGCCACAUUGGGACUGAGACACGGCCCAAACUCCUACGGGAGGCAGCAGUAGGGAAUCUUCGGCAAUGGACGAAAGUCUGACCGAGCAACGCCGCGUGAGUGAAGAAGGUUUUCGGAUCGUAAAACUCUGUUGGUAGAGAAGANCGUUGGUGAGAGUGGAAAGCUCAUCAAGUGACGGUAACUNCCCAGAANGGACGGCUAACUNCGUGCCAGCAGCCNCGGUAUACGUAGGUCCCGAGCGUUGUCCGGAUUAUUUGGGCGUAAGCGAGCGCAGGUGGUUAUUAAGUCUGGUGUAAANGCAGUGGCUCANCAUUGUNUCC
Molecule: ribosomal RNA, 570 nt
Filed under: Lactococcus lactis subsp. lactis bv. diacetylactis
Lineage: Bacteria; Bacillati; Bacillota; Bacilli; Lactobacillales; Streptococcaceae
Description: bacterial SSU rRNA
Rfam family: Bacterial small subunit ribosomal RNA
Source: RNAcentral